GUAGGGAUGCCAUGUCCAUGCCUUGGAGAGAAGAGGAGCGUUCUCUGCUGGCUGGGGAAUGACCAUCGUGAGGGGGAUGAUCGGGUCGGGGAGCAUCACGAAAAUGUUCAUGACCCGGCCCUGAAACAAGAAACAAAUCUCCUUACAGGAAAGCACAGUGCGACCAAAAGCAGAUGGGAAUGACACUGUUGAGAGGAGGGAGCAACUCAGAAGCCACCGUUCACUCAUGCUGAAUGCCCACCACAGGCCCGGGACCAGGUGUCCUUAGUAACUCGCUCACCUCGUGGGGUACCCCGACCUCGACCUCUGAGAUCUCGUCCUCGGGCCGCUUCCUCAGAAGCAUCAAAAUUCUCCUCUGGACCAAAGUCUUCAGGACCAGGAAAACCAUCCCUUCCUCUCGGGGGAGCACGGCCCUCAUGCCUCGGCGGGGCUCCUCUUCUGAAACUGUAAAGCGAAAACAGCAGAAUGUCCAUCUCAGGGAACACCUUGCCACUAAGUUCACGUUUCAAAAAAGCAUGUGAUAUGAGAAAGCAUGAUAUAAUGCUGAUUGGGAGGAAAACAAAAUAAAACUGUAUUUUGAAAGGA
This is a non-coding RNA of Macaca mulatta (Rhesus monkey), 585 nucleotides long. The record is from RefSeq and is a predicted model, not a curated record. NCBI's taxonomy places the organism in Eukaryota, Metazoa, Chordata, Mammalia, Primates, Cercopithecidae.